Molecule: ribosomal RNA, 397 nt
Filed under: uncultured bacterium
Lineage: Bacteria
Description: partial 16S ribosomal RNA
Rfam family: Bacterial small subunit ribosomal RNA
Source: RNAcentral
CUACGUAGGUGACAAGCGUUAUCCGGAUUUACUGGGCGUAAAGGGCGUGUAGGCGGUCUUGCAAGUCAGAAGUGAAAUUCCUGAGCUCAACUCGGGCGCUGCUUCUGAAACUGCAGGACUUGAGUGCUGGAGGGGAUAGCGGAAUUCCUAGUGGAGCGGUAAAAUGCGCAGAUAUUAGGAAGAACACCGGUGGCGAAGGCGGCUAUCUGGACAGUAACUGACGCUGAGGCGCGAAAGCGUGGGUAGCGAACAGGAUUAGAUACCCUGGUAGUCCACACCGUAAACGAUGGAUACUAGGUGUAGGAGGUAUCGACCCCUUCUGUGCCGGAGUUAACACAAUAAGUAUCCCACCUGGGGAGUACGGCCGCAAGGUUGAAACUCAAAGGAAUUGGCGGGG